RNAcentral lists this long non-coding RNA (1384 nucleotides) under Dromaius novaehollandiae (emu). RNAcentral describes it as "lncRNA (ENSDNVG00000015776.1)". Lineage: Eukaryota; Metazoa; Chordata; Aves; Casuariiformes; Dromaiidae. The record is from RNAcentral.
CACCGAUCAGCUUGCAUGAAGUGACUUAUUGCAUGAUCGCAUUGCUGCUUGUCAACUGAAAAUUUGAGUUACCAGUGUAUUGGUGGCAGUACAGUAAUGGGCGCAAUGUCUGCAUUGAAGGAGGAAGCGUUGGAGGAAUAAUCAGAGCAUUCUGGAAUCUUUGCAGGCRGAUUCUGCGUUUGAGCCUAAAACUCCAGUCAGGUGCCUGUGCCAAACAGCAGUUACAGUGACUCACUGCUGUGAAAAAGUUACAAUUCUGAAUCAAAGGAGACAAGGACACAUGGUACAAGCCGUUCAUCCAUUCAUGAGGAGAACAAAACCUGCAACUGUUUUAUCAGAUUGCCUGGUGGAUCCUGUGGGCCUUUUGGCACUUAGCAGCACAGUACCCAAGUGCCUUUGUGGAACAUGCAUUGGAAAUUUCCAUAAUUUUUUAGCUGAGGAUUUAGGAAAAGUGCCUUUCCUCAGCUGGAAAGCUGGAACUGAAGAGGGACCAGGGACUUUGCAGAUGGAAAAACUGGGACAAAAGAGCAGCAAAGAAGCAACUGUKGUGUUCUUGUAGAAAUGGUCCACGCACAGGAAAUCCAGACGUAGAAGAAGGCAAGAAACUGAGGGAAGGCAACGUCAUGGAUGUAAAGGAGAAACACUUAGAGAGCAAAACAGUCUUUAGGAAAGGAUUUAUUUAAAAGGAGGUGAUGUUUUUUAAAGACAUGAUAUGAAAGCAGAGAGAAGUUUGAAUUUGAUUUGCUGGCCUCUUUAAGUAACAUAGGUUUUCUCAUAUAAGAAGGUGGAUCCUUGCUGGACAAUACUGUGAGUAUACAAGCAAGAGGAUUUGAGGAACUAGUGAUAGGGAGAUUUCCCUUUUUAAUUCAUUUUACUUUUCCAUAAUAUCCUCAGGAAAACUAAUACAUUUGGUUGGCAUAUUAGUGUUGGGGACUGUCUUUGAGCUGCCAUUCUUAUAUUCAGUUCUAUUAAAAAAUACACAGUGUGGAUAUUUUGCAACUUUAAACUUGUGUUUGUAACUUUUUUCCUUCUGCUUUUCUUAAAAGUAUUUUGUAUUUCUGUCUCUCUGGAGCCAAAAGAGUUGCCACACUGCAGCUCAGGGACUGCUUUCUCGUGGUAUCCCCUCGCAAGAUACUGCACAGGUAUAUACUGUCUGUUCUAGGCUGUAGUCCCUGUGCCAGCGUAUUAUCGUGCCAGGCUCGGARCUAGACCAACAUUUAUGGGCCUGUUGUCUUUGAUUUGUCUAAUCCCCAUUUUAAAUUUACUGAGCAAAUCUGCCUUCACAACCMACAAUGACAGCAAAUUGUGGAAGUUCACUACCUGCUGCGUAGAAAAGACACCUCUUUAUUUUCAGUGCAACUUUUUUGCAAGACUUAAAGGCUGG